AUCUAAACUUAUUUACUGUUUUAUUUUUCGGAACUGUUUCUAAAAACUAUAAUUAAAUAACCUGUGAAUGUUAAGCUUAUAAUGAAUUCAAAAUUAUAUUUACAAGCCCCUAAUAUACUUUUUAAAGAGGAAUAAUUUAUACAAAGUGGUUAGAUCUGUGUUUGUGGGUUUUUUUGUCUCAUACAUCUUUCUUUAAGUGGUUAGACAUUUUUGUGUCCGGAUGAAAAGGGACUAUUUAUCUUCCUUCUUUUACUAUAAUAUUUA
Molecule: long non-coding RNA, 264 nt
Organism: Cucurbita maxima (winter squash)
Lineage: Eukaryota; Viridiplantae; Streptophyta; Magnoliopsida; Cucurbitales; Cucurbitaceae
Exons: 2
Source: RefSeq, a predicted model, not a curated record